UACGGGGGGGGCAAGCGUUGUUCGGAAUUACUGGGCGUAAAGGGCGCGUAGGCGGCCUUCUAAGUCGGACGUGAAAUCCCUCGGCUUAACCGAGGAACUGCGUCCGAUACUGAAAGGCUUGAAUCCGGGAGAGGUAUGUGGAAUUCCAGGUGUAGCGGUGAAAUGCGUAGAUAUCUGGAGGAACACCGGUGGCGAAGGCGGCAUCCUGGACCGGCAUUGACGCUGAGGCGCGAAAGCUAGGGGAGCAAACGGG
RNAcentral lists this ribosomal RNA (253 nucleotides) under uncultured bacterium. RNAcentral's name for it is "partial 16S ribosomal RNA". It matches the Rfam family "Bacterial small subunit ribosomal RNA", at positions 524 to 776 of the family's 1533-position model. The record is from RNAcentral.